CUCAUUUCCAGCGCACAAUGGCCAAAUCUCCGGAUACCAAUCCGUUGGAAAAUUAUGUCUGGAGUAUUUUGGACAGCAAAGUCUGGAGUAUUUUGGAAAGCAAAAUGUAAAAAUUGUGGCGUUGGACUUUGUUGAAGUUUUUAUCUCACCCUGUACAUAAAUACAUGUGUUUAACUUGUUGGGAGUAAAACGUCGGCCGAACACGUCGCAUUUUAGGUAACGCUGUGGCACAUUACUUAGUAAUGAGAAAAGAAAAUACUUUGUAUUUUUAAAGGAAUACCCCAUUAUUCUCAAUCCACUGAUAAUGCAGAAGGUAUUUUAUUUACAUUACACUCCCCACUUAUUGCAUAUUAGGCCGAUUUAAAGUCUGGCGCUUUGGGUUGUUUACUUUUCGCCAGGAAAUGUUAACACAUGGUAUGGGCAUAGCAAUCACAUCUACAAUCACCUGAAUACAAUUGUAUCUUUUCGUAGUCUUGUAAUGCCAAAAAAAAGCAAAACAUGAACUAUACCUUAUAUAGGUUCACCUUGCCCUAUAUUCAGGCACCGACUGUAUAUUAUUUUCAAUCAUCCUAGAUAAAGUGUCAGAUUUGAAUUUAUAGUUUAAAAAAAAAAACAUACAUGUGCAUAAAUAUAUAUGUGCACAUUUAGAAAUGCCAGAUUUCGAUCAAUCACUUCCAAUUAUUUUAAGGUCACAGAGAAUAUUCAUUUUAAAAACGUACCUAAUGGGUAUCGGAUUGGUUGCAUUGGCGGUUUUGCAGUGGCUUCUCCUAACUACAAAGCAAGUAAAAUUUGAAUAUUCCUUUGGAUUGUGUUUCUCUAUCAAUCUCGGUGUAGGAAAUGUGUGGCGCAAUAUUUGAGGAAAUACAAUUUUAUGAUGCUGGGGCUCCUGUUUGUCAUGUUCGUAAUGCUACUCCUAAUGCAGAAUCUCUUGCGGCGUACGUACAGUGGAAAAACCAGGGCCGCCAUUGCGUGUUACAUGCUAUUGAUGAUAGAAAUAACUUCGACUGUUGUUAGCAAGCCAGUGGCACAAUCAACAUUUUGGAACAUGGCAAUGGCAAGUGCUCUCACUCUGGGUCCAACUACUGUCAGCAUGUGUUUGGCAUUCAAACAUCAGAUAGAAAUCGAAUAUGAACCGACAUAUCUGGCAAUGUGGACAAUGAAAUAUUUUUUACUUACUUCUGUGAGUCUUCCAAUGGUGUUGGCUUUCGACAAUAUUUAUGUGCAAACAAGUAUCAGCUUGCUCCUGAGUUUCUUUAUCUCAAUUGUGAGUAUGGAAUGUUGCUUUUAAAACGUGCCGAUCAUCAUAAAUUUCUAGCUCGUUAUCGUUUGGGGAAUAUCUUUGUCGUCCCUACUCUUCUACAGGAUGGAGUCCCCGCACGUGGUAUACUACAUAGCACUAACAUAUAUCCUAUUUAUGUCGUUGUUUGCCAAUACUUUAGUUUUCUUCAAUAAGAUUCGAAAAAUAUAUGGCAAUUAGCUGUGGAAAUAUUUAUUUAAUCGUUUUCAAUAGCAUUCACCCUGCUUCCCGCAUCACAAAUAAGGACACUAAAUACAUCGCUACAAAAUUGAAGUACACACUUCUGGCUGGCAUUAGACACAGUGUUAGAGAACGGGUAUCGUAUCGGCCACUGGUUAUAGACAUUCC
This is a long non-coding RNA of Musca domestica (house fly), 1645 nucleotides long. RefSeq lists it as uncharacterized. NCBI's taxonomy places the organism in Eukaryota, Metazoa, Arthropoda, Insecta, Diptera, Muscidae. The transcript has 3 exons. The record is from RefSeq and is a predicted model, not a curated record.